Molecule: ribosomal RNA, 497 nt
Filed under: uncultured bacterium
Lineage: Bacteria
Description: partial 16S ribosomal RNA
Rfam family: Bacterial small subunit ribosomal RNA
Source: RNAcentral
GAUGAACGCUGGCGGCGUGCCUAAUACAUGCAAGUCGAGCGAACAGACGAGGAUCUUGCUCCUCUGACGUUAGCGGCGGACGGGUGAGUAACACGUGGAUAACCUACCUAUAAGACUGGGAUAACUUCGGGAAACCGGAGCUAAUACCGGAUAAUAUAUUGAACCGCAUGGUUCAAUAGUGAAAGACGGUUUUGCUGUCACUUAUAGAUUGAUCCGCGCCGCAUUAGCUAGUUGGUAAGGUAACGGCUUACCAAGGCGACGAUGCGUGGCCGACCUGAGAGGGUGAUCGGCCACACUGGAACUGAGACACGGUCCAGACUCCUACGGGAGGCAGCAGUAGGGAAUCUUCCGCAAUGGGCGAAAGCCUGAAGGAGCAACGCCGCGUGAGUGAUGAAGGUCUUCGGAUCGUAAAACUCUGUUAUUAGGGAAGAACAAAUGUGUAAGUAACUAUGCACGUCUUGACGGUACCUAAUCAGAAAGCCACGGCUAACUACGUG